UGGGGAAUAUUGCACAAUGGGCGAAAGCCUGAUGCAGCAACGCCGCGUGAGUGAUGAAGGCCUUCGGGUUGUAAAGCUCUGUCUUUUGGGACGAUAAUGACGGUACCAAAGGAGGAAGCCACGGCUAACUACGUGCCAGCAGCCGCGGUAAUACGUAGGUGGCAAGCGUUGUCCGGAUUUACUGGGCGUAAAGGAUGCGUAGGCGGAUUUUUAAGUGAGAUGUGAAAUACCCGGGCUUAACUUGGGUGCUGCAUUUCAAACUGGGAAUCUAGAGUGCGGGAGAGGAGAAUGGAAUUCCUAGUGUAGCGGUGAAAUGCGUAGAGAUUAGGAAGAACACCAGUGGCGAAGGCGAUUCUCUGGACCGUAACUGACGCUGAGGCAUGAAAGCGUGGGUAGCAAACAGGAUUAGAUACCCUGGUAGUCCACGCCGUAAACGAUGAGUACUAGGUGUAGGAGGUAUCGACCCCUUCUGUGCCGCAGUUAACACAAUAAGUACUCCGCCUGGGAAGUACGAUCGCAAGAUUUAAAAGCUCAAAUGAAUUGACGGGGGUCAUAGCUG
RNAcentral lists this ribosomal RNA (559 nucleotides) under uncultured bacterium. Its description in RNAcentral is "partial 16S ribosomal RNA". It matches the Rfam family "Bacterial small subunit ribosomal RNA", at positions 355 to 928 of the family's 1533-position model. The record is from RNAcentral.